This 255-nucleotide ribosomal RNA is filed under the name uncultured bacterium. RNAcentral describes it as "partial 16S ribosomal RNA". It matches the Rfam family "Bacterial small subunit ribosomal RNA", at positions 524 to 776 of the family's 1533-position model. The record is from RNAcentral.
UACGAAGGGGGGCUAGCGUUGUUCGGAAUUACUGGGCGUAAAGCGCGUGUAGGCGGGUCUUUAAGUCAGGGGUGAAAUGCCAGGGCUCAACCUUGGAACUGCCUUUGAUACUGGGGACCUUGAGUCCGGGAGAGGUGAGUGGAAUUGCGAGUGUAGAGGUGAAAUUCGUAGAUAUUCGCAAGAACACCAGUGGCGAAGGCGGCUCACUGGCCCGGAACUGACGCUGAGACGCGAAAGCGUGGGGAGCAAAACAGG